UACGUAGGGGGCAAGCGUUAUCCGGAUUUACUGGGUGUAAAGGGGGCGCAGACGGCCAUGGCAAGCCCGGUGUGAAAGGCAGGGGCAUAACCCCUGGACUGCACUGGGAACUGUCAGGCUGGAGUGCCGGAGGGGUAAGCGGAAUUCCUGGUGUAGCGGUGAAAUGCGUAGAUAUCAGGAGGAACACCGGCGGCGAAGGCGGCUUACUGGACGGCAACUGACGUUGAGGCCCGAAAGCGUGGGGAGCGAACAGG
RNAcentral lists this ribosomal RNA (254 nucleotides) under uncultured bacterium. RNAcentral describes it as "partial 16S ribosomal RNA". It matches the Rfam family "Bacterial small subunit ribosomal RNA", at positions 524 to 776 of the family's 1533-position model. The record is from RNAcentral.